CUGGUGUAGAUGUCUGGAAGUGAAUGUGCUUUGAAUAAUACAAGUCAGGAGAUAUAUUGGGAAAGUUAAAAACAAAUAUAUUAUCAUACAUCCCAACAGUCCCAAAUCUGGCAGGACUGAUUAAUUUUAAGCUCCUGUCUUGCUCCCCAAGUUUGUUAAUUGGUGUCCCGCAUCUGGGGGCACCAGCGCACUGUCCCAAGCAAGUGCAUAAUUUAGAUAUAAUAUGAAACAUUUCUUUAACAUUUUAGAUUUCUGUAUAACUUUCCUUUUAACCAGAAACCUGGAAACCUAAUUGGAAACCUUGAUUGUAU
This is a non-coding RNA of Pelobates cultripes (western spadefoot toad), 311 nucleotides long. The record is from the annotation of a GenBank genome assembly. Lineage: Eukaryota; Metazoa; Chordata; Amphibia; Anura; Pelobatidae.